UAGCUGAUCUGCUCUGGGUAAGUCGGGGCCUAAGGCGAGGACGAGAGUCGUAGCCGAUGGACAACAGGUGGAGAUUCCUGUACUGCGGUAUGACAGAACUGUGGGGACACGUAAGGAAAGCGGAAGCCGGGAAUGGAAAGCCCGGUGCAAGCGGGGUACCAGUCACUUUGGCAAAUCCGGGUGGCAAUGGGAAGCCGUGAUGCGGAGCGAAAUAAAGUAGCGAAGUCCGUGAGCCAUGCGUCAAGAAAAGCCGCUAUCGUUUAUACCGUACCCGUACCGUAAACCGACACAGGUGGAUGAGGAGAGAAUCCUAAGGCCGGCGGAAGAAGCAUUGUCAAGGAACUCGGCAAAAUGGCCCCGUAACUUAGGGAUAAGGGGUGCCUGGGAAACCAGGCCGCAGAGAAUAGGCUCAAGCAACUGUUUAGCAAAAACACAGGUCUAUGCGAAACCGAAAGGUGGGGUAUAUGGGCUGACGCCUGCCCGGUGCUGGAAGGUUAAGAGGAGAGGUUAGCGCAAGCGAAGUUUUGAAUUUAAGCCCCAGUAAACGGCGGCCGUAACUAUAACGGUCCUAAGGUAGCGAAAUUCCUUGUCGGGUAAGUUCCGACCCGCACGAAAGGCGUAAUGAUUUGAGCGCUGUCUCGACAAUGCAUCCGGUGAAAUUGAAGUACCAGUGAAGAUGCUGGUUACCUGCGCCAGGACGGAAAGACCCCAUGGAGCUUUACUCCAGUUUGGUACUGGGACUCGGUAUUGCAUGUACAGGAUAGGUGGGAGGCUAGGAGACAGUAACGCCAGUUAUUGUGGAGCCGCUGUUGGGAUACCACCCUUGCAGUAUUGGGUUUCUAACCAGCCGCCGUGACCCGGCGGUGGGACAAUGCCAGACGGGGAGUUUGACUGGGGCGGUCGCCUCCGAAAGGGUAUCGGAGGCGCCCAAAGGUUCCCUCAGAAUGGACGGAAACCAUUCGAAGAGUGCAAAGGCAGAAGGGAGCUUGACUGCGACACCGACGGGUGGAGCAGGUACGAAAGUAGGGCUUAGUGAUCCGGUGGUAUUAAGUGGGAAUGCCAUCGCUCAACGGAUAAAAGCUACCCUGGGAUAACAGGCUUAUCACUCCCAAGAGUUCACAUCGACGGAGUGGUUUGGCACCUGAUGUCGGCUCAUCGCAUCCUGGGGCUGUAGUAGGUCCCAAGGGUUGGGCUGUUCGCCCAUUAAAGCGGUACGCGAGCUGGGUUCAGAACGUCGUGAGACAGUUCGGUCCCUAUCCGGCGUGGGCGUAGGAUAUCUGAGAGGAGCUGUCCUUAGUACGAGAGGACCGGGAUGGACGGGCCGCUGGUGCAUCGGUUAGACUGCCAAGUCUACGGCCGAGUAGCCAAGCCCGGAAGGGAUAAACGCUGAAGGCAUCUAAGCGUGAAGCCCCCCUUAAGAUGAGAUAUCCCAUUCGAAAGAAGUAAACCCCCUUGAAGACGACGAGGUAGAUAGGGCAGAGGUGGAAGUGUGGCAACACAUGGAGCUGACUGUUACUAAUCGGGUGAGGGCUUGACC
This 1537-nucleotide ribosomal RNA is filed under the name metagenome. RNAcentral's name for it is "bacterial LSU rRNA". It matches the Rfam family "Bacterial large subunit ribosomal RNA", at positions 1362 to 2925 of the family's 2925-position model. The record is from RNAcentral.